Molecule: transfer RNA, 131 nt
Filed under: Cordyceps fumosorosea ARSEF 2679
Lineage: Eukaryota; Fungi; Ascomycota; Sordariomycetes; Hypocreales; Cordycipitaceae
Description: Isaria fumosorosea ARSEF 2679 tRNA
Rfam family: tRNA
About the family: Transfer RNA (tRNA) molecules are approximately 80 nucleotides in length. Their secondary structure includes four short double-helical elements and three loops (D, anti-codon, and T loops).
Source: Rfam by way of RNAcentral
GCUUUGGUGGCCAAGUGGUAAGGCGUCGCACUCGGUAGGUCCCGCCUCAAAUCACCCACCCCACAGGGGAAACAUCAACUAACAAUCAUCCAGUAAUGCGAAGAUCGGGGGUUCGAUUCCCCUCCGAAGCA